Molecule: long non-coding RNA, 7419 nt
Filed under: Sus scrofa (pig)
Lineage: Eukaryota; Metazoa; Chordata; Mammalia; Artiodactyla; Suidae
Description: lncRNA (ENSSSCG00035031739.1)
Source: RNAcentral
UAGAGAGCAUUGGUUUCAGCAAAAACAAGGUAUGUGCAGACAGAGCGAUGAGGAGAGAAAGGGCAGCGAACAUUCCAGGCAGACAAAACAUAACAUGUUUGGUUGAGAAACUCAUAAUUUUUAUUUAAAAUAUUUCUGCAGUGGGUGGGAGUGGGGUGUUAGGAUCAAGAUGGUGGAGUAAGAGGACAUGGAGCUCACCACUCCCCAAAUGAACACAUCAGAAUACAUCUAUCUGAAAACUAACUGGAGACUGGCAGAAGGACCCCUGUACAACCGAUUCUGUCAGAGAUACACAAAGAAGCCAAUACGAAGGGAAGAAAAGCUAUCAGGUUGGGACCUGUGCCCCUGGGAGAGCACUGAAAGGGGGGUUAGGUGGAUGGAGGUCUUCCAAGGGGAGUGAGUUGUUCCAGCCACAGGUUGAGUGUCCCAAUCCGGAGGUCCCGUGAAGGAGACCAGCUCCCUUGACUGGAUGGAGGACUGCUAACAGAAGAGCUAGCAGGCAGCACAGAGGGAGUUCUGUGCCAGUGGCUGCUGUGUUUCCUACAACUACCCCACCGUAAGUCCUAACCAAGCCACACUAAUGCUUCAGCCCUGCUCCCUCCACAUCACAGUAAAUCUGCAAUCAGCUACUUUUUAAUUAUUGUAGAUCUAAUGAUUAAGGAGUACCUUGCAAUAAUUUUCCUUUCCUCCAAAAUAUUUGGGCUGUCCAUAUAUAUCUUCCCAAGUGUGUCAUCAACUUGGAUGUGUUUUACUCUAUUUUGCCUGAUAAUAGUCUGUGGUAUGCUACGAAUAAACCCGUGGUUGAAUAAACUCAUAAGUAACUUGAAGUGUCUGCAUUAAAAUCUAGAGAAUUUAUGGUAUACUCGACAUGACAUGUAACUUUUAAAAUAUAUUUAUUGUGGCAGUUUUAAUGGAAAAAUGUAAAGCUUUGGAAGAAAAUGUCAUCUAGUUUUAUCCUGUGGUUGGUGUCGAGAACAACAUCAGGGUCCGAAUAUCUGGAUGUUCUUCCACAAUAAUGUUUAGUAGCUCCUGUGUAGGCUUUAUAGUUGGGACUCAUUAGGUCUCUGUUAAUUUACCGGUUAUUUGAUACCUCUUCCUGAAAACAACUUAACUGCAGUUUUGCUCUUGGAAGGCUAAAUUGAUGAAAUAAUUUAUGGUAAAAUUUUUGUCCGUUUAUCAGAUAGAAGAACUCAUAAAUCUUCCUUUUUAUGGAACCUGUAAAUUUUUACAGCAUAUUUCACUGGAAUGAAUGAAUAUGGGGUCUGAAGAACAUUAUUUUAUUUCUGGUCUAUCCCUUACUUCCUGUGUCUCUUUGAGCUGGUUCCUUUUUUACUGUCACUAACAUCAUCUUUAUACUAUCUGGAGAUAACAUUUUCUUGAAUACUACUGAGAUCUAUACUGCUCUCUCUACAAGAAUAUAGCUCUUUCCUUUUGUCUACCCAACUCCUACUAAGUACAAUUUUCUUUCCAGAAGUCUUCACCAAUUAGGCAAAUUAUGUGCAAAAAGAUGUAUUAUCUUCAGAGCAUCAAUAUUGGAAAUAGUACUGCCUUCUCAUUUCGUAUUUACUGAACAUAUAGAGAAUCCGUGGGAUAUAAAUCCUCAAAUCCUUGAGAAUUUAUCACAGUGGGCAAAUAUGAAUUCAGUUGAUAAUAAGAAGCUUAUAUGAUUUAGCUAUAGAGAAAUCCAAACAUAAAGUGAGAGAUAAUAUAAUAUGAAAUGAUACAGAAUGCCUCUUUGUAAUGGCAAAACAAUAAAAUAGAUUACCUUUACUUUAAUUAAGUAUAAGAGUGUAGAUUUGGUUCUGUUCUGAUAUUGAAAUUUUUCUCAUACCUAAUUUUUAUAUGAUCUUUAGUGUUUUUUGUCAGAAUGAUUUUGUCAGAAUGAUGUAUGAUUUCUCUAGGAAUUACAUUUAUUUAGGGAGAGAUGUAUGUACAGGAAAAAAACCUCUCCUAGAAGUUACAUGAUAUUUGCUCUAAAGUUUCAGAAACAUAAGAAAAAAAUGCAUUAUUCAAUAGAAUUUUCUUGGGACCCUUCUAUGCUCAAGGCAGAGUAAUAAGCAAAGGUUCUAUUCUUAAAGAAGAUAUAAUUAAGUUUUCAGAACAAAAAAGGUAUGAUUCAUAUUCAUAAUUUUGUUUGCCAUGUCUUCUUUCUCACUCAACUCUUUACUUUUUCCAUUAUACUAUAUAAAGAUGAGGCUUUUCCAUAAUGUAUAGGAAAGAGACCAUUACAAGUUUCCUGAUUUUUCUCCCUUUGCUUACUAAAUUUCAACUUAAUCUCACAAAAAUCUUCCUAAGAAGCAAAAAAGUAUUUAUUAAUAAACACCCAGUAAGGUUUAUCAUUAAACUCUUCUCCCAAGUAGUGUUGCAGACUCCCACAUUUGGUCUCAAGAUACAGUUGCUUCAACUCUUUAUCUGUGAGAAAACAAUCCUCACUAUUGAUCAUAUGUGAAUUCCUGAGGCAUGAUCUUACUCCAAACAUUCAUGAUGCAAUUUCUCCUUAAUGAAAUUCCUACAUUUGAGUUUCUGACCCAACGAUUCACAGGAUAGUAUGAUUCCUACUUUUUUAAAGCCUAUUCCUAGGUCUGGGACAAUGGUGUGCUUUUGCCUGGCUCCCUCUUAUUGUGUUUCUUUUUAAAGAUCUUUAUUUUUCUGUUGUCCUGGAUAGCCUCUAUUUACUUGGACCCUGAUACUGAUGAUAGUUACUAGCUUGCUUAAAUUUCUGAGUGUCUCUCUUUUGCAUUUCCCAUCUCAAUAUUUAAGGCAUACUUUGGAAAACUGUAUUAGAUAAGAUACUUUGGGCAAUGCCAGAAAAAAGCAAACAAAUAACUCUCAAACUAAGAGAAAUGUGUUGGCUUAAAAACGGAAAAUCCAAAGAUAAAUCUAUAUUUAAGUUGGAUGUAGAAAUUUAGCAAUACCAUCAUUCCUGGCUUCUGCAGUUCCCUGUGACUUCCAGGAUGAUUUCUUCAUCCCAGGAAUCUGCAUGGUUUUCCCAGUCCCACCAGCAACUCUGUAUAGUCCUAUGUGGUAGCAAAAUUUCUCCAAAGAGAAGUCUAGCUUUCACAUCAUUUGUUCAAGAGUAGAGAAAGAGCCUCUUUCUGAAGUCUCUGCAAAGUCCGUGGAUUUCCUUCACUGGUCUCAAUUAGAUUUAUGUCUAUUUCUAAACCAAUUAUUGGUUUUAAAGCAGUAGUUGCAGUGAAAUUUUAAGCCAUUCAGCAUCCUCUGCUAGAGCUAGGGUGGGAUCAAUUACACAAGUUUGUGAGAUUUUCUUCUAAAGAAUACCAGAGAAAAAAAAUCUAGAUGCUACAGAAGUGAACCAGUGUCCCUAAAAGUGGGCUGCAACUGUCUGCAGAAGGUGAUUAAGUUACCAUGCCUUUCUAGGCCUCUUGGCUUGCCCACUGAACUCAAUGUUAUUGAUACUUCGUUCAUCUGGGAAUUUGCCCCCAAAACAGGCCCUGACAUAGGCGGUAAGUCUUUAUCAUCUUCUAACCCUCUUUUACACCCUCCCUCAUUUGCUUCAAUUAAGUCACUAGAGUCAGUAAUGAAUAAGAAAAUUCGGAACUCAUGAAUGAGGACAGUGGUUCAAGUCCAGAUAAUAAGAUCAACUGGUGAAAGAGCAUCUCCAGACAUUCACAUGGAUCAAGAAAGAACUACAGAGAUGUGGUGCCCUCAACAGGUAUUAGUGAUUCUAGACCUUUGCUAUUGAAGUGAUUUGAAGUAGCAACUGAAUUUCUUUGGAAGCUAUCUCCAGACUUUAUGUUUUGAAAAGUUCAGUGCUUGUUUUUUAACCUUCAUAUUUUCUACAUUAUAAAAAGUGUUUGAGAAAACUCCUUCCUUAUUUCUCACUGCAAUUAUUUGAUGAUUUUGAAGUCUUAGUACUUAAAUAAGAGGAAGUUGUAGAAGAGCAUGCUAUUUUCCAAUAGCAGCAAUAGUUUAAACAAAUAUUCAAAUGUUUUUGAAAAUAAAUGUAUUUAUUGAUAAAAUAUUCUUAGAGAUAAGUGAUUUUUAUUUAUAAAACUGAACUUCAUAUAGCAAAUUAAAUAUAAAUUAUUCAGCAAGUGUCUAAUAUUUGUUUUAUAUUCACAGAAUAUUAAUUUUUCAUUUGUUUCACUAGACAAAUGAAAAAGCAUUUAUUGAUUCUUGGCAAAUGCACCACUUUUGCAUAAAGAAUGGACAAAGAAAACAUACACCAUAUAUGCAUUCAAUUUGUACAUGUAUUUGAGUAGCAGAAAAGCAUAAACAUUCAAAUAUAAUAGAAAAUACAAUAUAAGAAUAAAAUAUGGGUGGCAUCCUGACCAAGCCUUAAAAUAGUUUAGAUAAUAACAGUUAUUAAACUAUUUCUACUAACAAAAACAGAUGUAUGGAUUUAAAAUAAUACAAUUUUAGGAGUUCAACUGGUGAAAAAGCAUGACUACAAAACUAGUAAAUAAAUUAAUUAAAAAUCAUUAUUUAAAUAAUGUGAAUUAAAGGGCAUUAAUUAAAACAAAUUCCAAUUAAACGUAUUUGUAAAACUAUUCUAAAUGUACACAAAGCGAGUUCCUUGACUUUCAAAAUUGUUCAGGAAAUUAGUCCCCCCAAAAUCGGCUGCUUGAAUUAUAAAAUAUAAAACUUCCAAAUACAAAUACCGGAGUAACUACAAAGAGUACAAAGAAGUAGUGUUUAGAAAUAGACAAGCUGGAAUCAAUGUUCUCCCUAUUUUUUUUUUUUUCUCUUUUUAUGCCCAUACACUGACUAUAUGGAUGUUCCUGGGCUAGGUAUCUAUUCAGAGCUAUAGCUGUGGGCCUGUGCCACAGCUAGAGCAACACUGGAUCCAAGCCACACGUAUGAGCUGUGCCACAGCUUGCGGCCACACCAGAUCCUUAACCAACUAAGUGAGGUCAGGGAUCAAACUAGCAUCCUCGUGGAGACUGUGUUGGGUUCUUAACCCACUGAGCCAAAAUGGGAACUCCAGUGUUCUUUUUUCCACCUAGCUUUCUUUUUAAUGUUGCUAAAUAAAACAUACACGGUAUGAUUCAAUUUGUAGCUUUUUUUCUGACACUUGUUCUGACCUUUCUUUGCCUUCAAUGUCAGCCAUGAUACAUAGACAUGAAUAUAGCUCCUAUACUUUCAAAUACAAACUUGUACUAUACUAUAAUAACUUUUGACAUUCCUAGCCAUUUCAACAUUCUAAUAACUAAAUAGUUUAAAGGUAACAGUCAAAAAGCAUGAACAACACUUUGAUUAACUAUGUCUUGAUGUUUUAAAACUUGAGGAGUCUAAUCUGAAAUAUCCUUCAUCAUAACCUAGGUAGAUAAGGGGAGAGUGAGACUUCAAUAGCCCACUAGACAGGUUGGAUGACAGCCAGAUGAGGCAAUGUUCUAACGGCUGUCAGUGACCUUGGCGUGAAUUUUGCAAAGGUACAAAUUUCUCUGUCUCAGACAGGCAGUUCUGUGAUUAAGUAAGUAAGCACACCCACGGAGCUACAGAGCUUGAUAAACACAUGUUGGCUGUAAACAAUAUCCUUUCUCUAAGGGACUUUUCGUAGAAUGCUGACUAUGGAGCAAGAUUUAUGGUAUAAUAGUCUGUAUCUCAUAUGUUAGAAGCGCUCCAAUAACUGGAGUGAAUUUAUGCAACUUAGAUUAAAUAGUGAAAAAAACAAAACCUUGUAGCUUUCCGUUCGCUUGAAGCAAGAUAUAAUUCUUUUACUUUUCUUUAAUGUUGCUUCCUUUGAGCAAUGUUCCCUUUUAACCAUAUAGGAAAAAAAAAUCAAGAAAUGGACACAGUAAGCAAGUACAUAUGUCAGUGUAUUUGUCAAAGAAGAGUUCUCAUUUUCCCUGGAUGUUUAUAGUCUGCGACAAACAUAAAAUUUCUUGAGUAGAAUACUAAAUAAAUUUAUGAGUGAUUCUUAGCUAAAGAAAUAUUGGAGUGGACAAAAGUCAAAUAAUUAGACAGCUAUACAUCCAGUCAUGGAUAUAGGGCCUAAUGGGAGGGAGCAAUAUUGUGAGUGGACAUAGUAGGAUAUCUGUGAGGUAAGAUAAUAAAUGCAAUUUAUUUUUCAUCUAAGUGAGUUUUCUCAUUUGGUUCUUUUUGAAACUCUUACAAACUAGCUAAGCCAGAGAACAAUACAGACUAGACUUUUUAACCAAACUAGUGUCUAAUGGAAUGCUUGUUAUUUAAUAAGCUUAUACUAAAACAUAGACCAAAUAUACAGAUUAUGGCAACUGAAUAAAUAAAAGGCUUCAUAAAUAAAGGUCCAGUGUGUGUAUGUCUAUGUCUGUGUAAAUUUUAUGUGUGUGCAUAUGUUGUUGCAGAAAUUGGAAGAUACGCUUAGCAAAGAGAUAGUAAGCCUGACUUUCAAAGGCACCAGUAUGAGUUUCAUUUAUUUCAAUUUUUUUAAACCAAUGAAUUUUAAAAUUGUAUUUUAUUUAUAUUUUUGAGUUAAAGAUUUCUUUAUUUUUAUUUUAUGUAAAUUUUAUUGGCGCUUAGUUGACUUACAAUGUUGUAUAGUUACAGAUAUACAGCAAAGUGAAUCAGUUAUACAUAUGCAUAUAUCCAUUCUUUUUUUCCCAUAUAGGUUAUUACAGAAUAUUGAGUAGAUUUCCGUGUGCUAUACGGUAGGUCCUUAUUAGUUAAUAUUCAGUCUGGCAAUGAGCAUAGAAUAAGACAUACAUUAAUCAUUAAUUAAGUAAAGAAAGAAAAGAUGAAUGAAUUAAGAUUCAUAACAAUCCUAUAGAAUUUUAACUAUUAUUGAUUACUACAUAAAACUGGUUUAUUAUAAUACAACUAAUAAGCCCACUUUAAAACAAUGGUUAGCUAAGUAAUUGCUUAGAGAAUUGAAAAAUUAAACCCAUGAAUAUCACAAUCUGUGGACAUAGCAGGUAUUAUCCUUUAGAGCUAUGUCCUUAGCCUGAAAAUAUUGUUAUAUUAUCAAAAUAUUUUCAGUAAGAUAUAGAAUGGUGCACUUUGGGUACAAAUGCCAAAAUCUAGACAGAAGGAGCUAGGAUUUCUUGUGACUUUGAAACACUGGGGGAUAAUCAGUGAUGUUGUAUUCACAAGGGAUAUGUGUGGUAGAAGAUAGCUUACUAGGCACAAAUCAUGUUGGUGUGAAACCAGGUAAUGUGAAUAAGCAGUGUGAUUUUACUGAAAGCUCUGAAUCUUAUGUAUUGUUUUUUUUUUUUUUUAAACAGUGGCAUUUGUUCAUUUUAAAACAAACAACAACAACAAACCACUUGAAUGUUCUUCUAGCAGGAUGACUACAAGUACAUAUUGAAAAACAAGUAUCAGUUUGAAUAAAAAUGAGUGUGCAGUUUAAUUCUUACUUUUCAAAAUUGAUGGGAUGGACAUGUGUAAGACUCAGAGAUACCAACUAAAAUGAUUAAUGUCCUGAAAACCAGGACCUCUGAAGAAGGGUUCAAGGAGUUACUGACACUUAGUUUGAGAAAA